CCUACGGGGGGCUGCAGUAGGGAAUCUUCCACAAUGGACGAAAGUCUGAUGGAGCAAUACCGCGUGAUUGAUGAAGCCCCUUGGGGUGUAAAGAUCUUUUCUGAGGGAAGAAUUAUGACGGUACCUUAGGAAUAAGCACCGGCUAACUCCGUGCCAGCAGCCGCGGUAAUACGGAGGGUGCAAGCGUUAUCCGGAAUCAUUGGGCGUAAAGCGUCCGCAGGUGGCGUAUUAAGUCAGAUAUUAAAGGCAACGGCUCAACUGUUGUACUGUAUCUGAUACUGAUAUGCUUGAGAACUGUAGAGGUAAGUGGAAUUCUGCAUGUAGGGGUAAAAUCCGUUGAUAUGCAGAGGAAUACCAAGAGCGAAAGCAGCUUACUGGACAGUUUCUGACACUCAUGGACGAAAGCGUGGGGAGCGAACGGGAUUAGAUACCCGGGUAGUC
This 441-nucleotide ribosomal RNA is filed under the name uncultured bacterium. RNAcentral's name for it is "bacterial SSU rRNA". It matches the Rfam family "Bacterial small subunit ribosomal RNA", at positions 338 to 795 of the family's 1533-position model. The record is from RNAcentral.